Anthonomus grandis grandis is the source of this 885-nucleotide long non-coding RNA. RefSeq lists it as uncharacterized. The record is from RefSeq and is a predicted model, not a curated record. The transcript is spliced from 3 exons. Lineage: Eukaryota; Metazoa; Arthropoda; Insecta; Coleoptera; Curculionidae.
UAUGGAAUAGAAAGAAAAAUCUAAAAAAGCAGUAAGUUGUAUUGCUGUAAAUGAACUGAGCAAUAAACAGUAAAACCUUUGAAUCGAAUAUAGACCCUGGCGACCCCAUUUGCAUAAGUACUUAUUGCAUAAAACUGUUUUUGUGAAAAUAGCAAGUGCAAAUGUAAAAAACAAUAGUGAGAAAUAUUGUAUUAAAUAGGUGGAUAGAAAAAGACACGGAUUUCCUGAUUUUUCAAGAGGCCCAACAUAUUUAAUACUUGGGUUCAGAUUUUUUUGCCUUGAAACCAUGAAGAUCUCAGUAAUAAACAAUUCUAUGUGAAAUUCUACGUAUGUGACAAUUAUUUUACUUCUGAUUCAUGCAUGUCCAAUUUGAGGAGGGGCCUUAAACCAGAUGUUAUACCUUCGGUUAACCUCUCAGGCUUAAUUAAUAUAAGUUAAAUUAGCCUAAACUGCGCCUAGGUCUUACAAUACGGCAAAGUGGGACAUUGGAGGCCAAAAUAAAUUACCCAAUGAAGCUCAAAACGUAGCAGAAUUUAUCGUGCCUCUGUAUAGACUUUUUGACAGCCUCAAUGUGUAAACUUACUGUAAAGCACAGACCAGACCUGAGAGAAGAGCAAUUUCACCAGUUUACAUGAGCAAUUUUUCAUUGUAUACAAAUCUAGAGAACUAUGAAGUUUUUAAAAACAAAGGAAAAAUGAAAGGAAAAACUUAUGUAAAUCUUACUUUUAACAUAUUUACUUAUUGCUUCUUUCACUUCUAAUUAGUUUUAUAUAAUUUAUAAUAUUUACAAAGGAACAAUACUAGUGAAUUGACUGAUGGAUAAUUCCUUGGUGAUUUUAUUCAAUUUUUAUUGGCUUUAUACAUUUACUAUAACUUCUUACAAUA